This 372-nucleotide ribosomal RNA is filed under the name uncultured Prevotellaceae bacterium. RNAcentral describes it as "bacterial SSU rRNA". It matches the Rfam family "Bacterial small subunit ribosomal RNA", at positions 335 to 712 of the family's 1533-position model. Lineage: Bacteria; Pseudomonadati; Bacteroidota; Bacteroidia; Bacteroidales; Prevotellaceae. The record is from RNAcentral.
GUCCUACGGGAGGCAGCAGUGAGGAAUAUUGGUCAAUGGGGGAGAGUCUGAACCAGCCAAGUAGCGUGCAGGAUGACGGCCCUAUGGGUUGUAAACUGCUUUUAUAAGGGAAUAAAGUGAGUCUCGUGUGAAUUGUUGCAAGUACAUUAGGAAUAAGGACCGGAUAAUUCCGUGCCAGCAGCCGCGGUAAUACGGAAGGUCCGGGCGUUAUCCGGAUUUAUUGGGUUUAAAGGGAGCGUAGGCCGGAGAAGUAGCUUGUUAAAAAUGGGGCUCUCAACCUUUGCGGUGCAGCGCGAACUGGUUUCCUUGAGUGAGAGGAAAGGGAAUUCCCAGUUGAGCAGCAAAAAGGCUUAGAUAUCAGAACACCUCCGA